This 1284-nucleotide long non-coding RNA is filed under the name Panax ginseng (ginseng). RNAcentral's name for it is "long non-coding RNA (PGIN_LNC004594)". Lineage: Eukaryota; Viridiplantae; Streptophyta; Magnoliopsida; Apiales; Araliaceae. The record is from RNAcentral.
GAGUUCCUCAACCCCUCCAAAACUCGCCUGGUGGACUAAUAUGCUCUAGCGGCGUCCAUGUGGAAGAAAUGGGAGAUAAGAAUGGUGAAUGUUACAUAGUGAAUGCAGCUGUUUAUGUUGGUUACUAAGUUCUGUUUGAUGUUCACCUAAUGUCGCAAGUCUUUUAAAUUUACUCUUCUCCUCUUAACCCGAUAAAUCUAUCCCAGGUAAUGUCGUUGGUUCUCCUUCAGUUGUAGUGGUGGUUCAGCAUUACCGUGUAGAUAUUUGUUUACAACUGAUAUUCUUCUUGUUAUUAUUUCGAUGUUUGUUACAAUGUCUGUAGAAUAUGGAUGAUUACGAUCAACUGAACUUGAUUGUUGUUAUUUGAUUGACAGCCUGAAAUUUCUUCAUUGUAUUUUAUAGCUCUGCUUCACUUUGGUGCUUGUAUACUUGAGAGCCUAUUUGAGUUGUUGACAUUGGAUUACAAAUGUGAUCAUUAGGUUGCAGAAAGGCAAAGAAAUCUACCAGUUUUAUGUUUCAAAACCAAUGAGAUGUUCUUAUUUGUUUGUUAUAAGUAAGGUGUUUGGAGAACAGAAACUAAGAAAACACUCAAAGUAAUCUGAUGAUUCUGAUUGUGACAUGAGGUUGUAGCCCAAAUUCUUGCAUAUGUUAAACUCUAACAUGUUCUUCUUACCAUCUAAGUGCUAUUUGCUUAUUUGUAGCUUGCUCUUAUUUAAAAAUUUGUGAGCUGUUGUUGGUGAUGGGGUGACUAAUUCAAAUGUUUUGAACUGCUUUGUUUUUGAGUUCCUUGUAUAUCAACCUAAAAAAUAUUUACUAAGCUUUCAAACAAUGUGAUGGUAUAUUAUGAACUGUUGUAGUGUGGUUAGGAAAUAAAUGUUACUUGAUGCAUAUGCUUGGCAAAAUUUGCCUAACAUGAGCAACUGUGAUUUUUGUUGUUUUGACUUCUGUUCAUAAGUUUGAAAUUCACCAAUUUCCUUGCAUCAUCUUGAUUAACAGUUUACUUUGGAUCCCAAGUGGUGUGUGGCCGGGGGAGAGGAAAGCAGAGAGGCAGUUGUUCAGAGGGAUAUGCACUUUUGUGGUUUAUUUUGUGGAUUGAAAAGUAAAUUUGAGAUGUAUAUAUGGAUAGUUUGGUAUAUAUUUUGUGGAUGUAGUAAUUUGAAACUGUAAACGAAUGGUACUAUUGGGAUAUAUUUUGAAUGGUUGAUACAUUUUGGUUUUAAAUUUAAAUGAGAAUGUAGACCUUAUCAUGACAUUAGCAUAUUGCAGGUGCAUUGGUAAUGUGGG